This 1546-nucleotide ribosomal RNA is filed under the name Escherichia coli ABU 83972. Its description in RNAcentral is "bacterial SSU rRNA". It matches the Rfam family "Bacterial small subunit ribosomal RNA". The record is from RNAcentral. Lineage: Bacteria; Pseudomonadati; Pseudomonadota; Gammaproteobacteria; Enterobacterales; Enterobacteriaceae.
AAAUUGAAGAGUUUGAUCAUGGCUCAGAUUGAACGCUGGCGGCAGGCCUAACACAUGCAAGUCGAACGGUAACAGGAAGCAGCUUGCUGCUUUGCUGACGAGUGGCGGACGGGUGAGUAAUGUCUGGGAAACUGCCUGAUGGAGGGGGAUAACUACUGGAAACGGUAGCUAAUACCGCAUAACGUCGCAAGACCAAAGAGGGGGACCUUCGGGCCUCUUGCCAUCGGAUGUGCCCAGAUGGGAUUAGCUAGUAGGUGGGGUAAAGGCUCACCUAGGCGACGAUCCCUAGCUGGUCUGAGAGGAUGACCAGCCACACUGGAACUGAGACACGGUCCAGACUCCUACGGGAGGCAGCAGUGGGGAAUAUUGCACAAUGGGCGCAAGCCUGAUGCAGCCAUGCCGCGUGUAUGAAGAAGGCCUUCGGGUUGUAAAGUACUUUCAGCGGGGAGGAAGGGAGUAAAGUUAAUACCUUUGCUCAUUGACGUUACCCGCAGAAGAAGCACCGGCUAACUCCGUGCCAGCAGCCGCGGUAAUACGGAGGGUGCAAGCGUUAAUCGGAAUUACUGGGCGUAAAGCGCACGCAGGCGGUUUGUUAAGUCAGAUGUGAAAUCCCCGGGCUCAACCUGGGAACUGCAUCUGAUACUGGCAAGCUUGAGUCUCGUAGAGGGGGGUAGAAUUCCAGGUGUAGCGGUGAAAUGCGUAGAGAUCUGGAGGAAUACCGGUGGCGAAGGCGGCCCCCUGGACGAAGACUGACGCUCAGGUGCGAAAGCGUGGGGAGCAAACAGGAUUAGAUACCCUGGUAGUCCACGCCGUAAACGAUGUCGACUUGGAGGUUGUGCCCUUGAGGCGUGGCUUCCGGAGCUAACGCGUUAAGUCGACCGCCUGGGGAGUACGGCCGCAAGGUUAAAACUCAAAUGAAUUGACGGGGGCCCGCACAAGCGGUGGAGCAUGUGGUUUAAUUCGAUGCAACGCGAAGAACCUUACCUGGUCUUGACAUCCACGGAAGUUUUCAGAGAUGAGAAUGUGCCUUCGGGAACCGUGAGACAGGUGCUGCAUGGCUGUCGUCAGCUCGUGUUGUGAAAUGUUGGGUUAAGUCCCGCAACGAGCGCAACCCUUAUCCUUUGUUGCCAGCGGUCCGGCCGGGAACUCAAAGGAGACUGCCAGUGAUAAACUGGAGGAAGGUGGGGAUGACGUCAAGUCAUCAUGGCCCUUACGACCAGGGCUACACACGUGCUACAAUGGCGCAUACAAAGAGAAGCGACCUCGCGAGAGCAAGCGGACCUCAUAAAGUGCGUCGUAGUCCGGAUUGGAGUCUGCAACUCGACUCCAUGAAGUCGGAAUCGCUAGUAAUCGUGGAUCAGAAUGCCACGGUGAAAUACGUUCCCGGGCCUUUGUACACACCGCCCGGUCACCACCAUGGGAGUGGGUUGCAAAAGAAGUAGGUAGCUUAACCUUCGGGAGGGCGCUUACCACUUUGUGAUUCAUGACUGGGGUGAAGUCGUAACAAGGUAACCGUAGGGGAACCUGCGGUUGGAUCACCUCCUUA